CGGGGCGUAGCGCAGCCUGGUAGCGCACUUGCAUGGGGUGCAAGGGGUCGAGUGUUCGAAUCACUCCGCCCCGACCA
This 77-nucleotide transfer RNA is filed under the name Pseudomonas aeruginosa. RNAcentral's name for it is "tRNA-Pro". It matches the Rfam family "tRNA". From Rfam's summary of the family: Transfer RNA (tRNA) molecules are approximately 80 nucleotides in length. Their secondary structure includes four short double-helical elements and three loops (D, anti-codon, and T loops). The record is from RNAcentral. Lineage: Bacteria; Pseudomonadati; Pseudomonadota; Gammaproteobacteria; Pseudomonadales; Pseudomonadaceae.